Long non-coding RNA from Aotus nancymaae (Ma's night monkey), 2140 nucleotides. NCBI's taxonomy places the organism in Eukaryota, Metazoa, Chordata, Mammalia, Primates, Aotidae. The record is from Ensembl.
GAUUUGACAAGGUGACCAUCUGUUUUCUCUUUCCCACUUAAUUACAAAAGGAAUGGUACUUGAAGCCCACCAAAAUACCCAGGGAGGAAUGGGAUUAUGACAUAUUCAUUUUCUCUGCAAAGUGCAAACCUAACACUUGCUCAUAUGGCCACAUUGAAGGGGAGCAGAAUUAGCACAUCUGCAACUGAUCUUCCACCACAGCUACUGGGACUGAAGUUAGUUAACCUGAAAACCUAAUGCCACUCAACGAAAGCCCAUUGAAGGGCACCCAAACCACUGGUAAAGCCUCCGUUUAGGAGAAACGAAUGCUCCAUUGGAUAACACCUUAUCUCACUGGCUUGCAUGAAAUCGUCUCCACUCAAGGUCUGAGUUUCUAUCGGCAGAGUUUGUUUGGUGAAAUAUGCUUGAAUCCAAGAGUACAGAAACAACCCCUUGUAAUGGAAAAUACAGAAGACUGGAAGUCGGAAUAUCUAGGUACCAGUUCCAGGUUGGCAAUACUCCCAUAAACAUACAGAGAGAAGGCCACCUAUUCAUGAUACUUCUCUCCUAUUCUUGGGCUCUACUGAAGAAUCUAAGAGGAGGCAUCAGCUGACUCAUCUCAGAUGUUGAUGAUUCUGAAGCAGUAACCUCAAACCCUGCCACUACUACAAGUGAUUCCUUGGAUAUUGGUCAGGUUGAGGACCCUUCAGGCUAACAAUCUCAGAUUUUGUAGUUCUGCUGGUUACUGAACACUUCAGAGAAAAAGAAAUAUUGGCACGUAAAAAGAUGGAGUGACAUAAUGUAGUUUGUUUUGUAAUCAUACCAUUCACUGUUUGUUUUAAAAAUGUAUCAAGCAUUUCAUUUCAUUCAAUCACCUAGAUAGCAAUUAGUAGACAUUGUUCUCAGUACUAUCUAUUUAUACAUAUAUAUAUAUGCAUAUAUAUGUAUCAAUUCUCAUAAAAAUGUCAUGAGAUAACACUAUUAUUGUAUCCUUUUUGCAAAUGAGAACACUGAGGCACAAGAGGUUAUGCCUUUCCAAGGCCACAGAAUGAGUAAGUGGCAGGCCAAGUUUGAACCAACAACCCUUACACCAGAGUCCACAAUAUUAACUAUUGUGUUUCGCUAUGUACACCAAUAGCAUAACAAUAAUAUUAAUAAUAUCUAAAAUUCAAUGAUCCAGGCUAGCCACCGUGCAUAGUAUAUUUUAUCCUUACCACAAUCCAAUGAGGAAGGUAUAAUUAUUACUCCAUUUUAUAUGUGAGGAUUAGGGAGAUUCAAUAAUUUGUCCAAAAACUCACAACCAGCAAAUGGUGGAGCUUGGGCUGAAUAUUGCUGAGAUAAAGAGAUGAAACAAAAAAAUUAUUCUGUUUGAGUUUGUAAUCGUUUAUAAAAGGAGAUAUUUGUUGGUCUGGAAGCAUUGGGAACAUUUUUAGAAGUGUGAUUUUCACGAUCCCUAGAAAUGGAAAGUGAAACUGAAAUUUUGCUUUUCUGGCCUUCCUCAGAUAUUAUGUCUUAUUCCUAAAGGAUUUGGAGAUUUAGUUGUUACUCUGUUAAGUUAAUAAGACCCUGAAUCUUUAAAAAUAUCCAAAGCUAAUUUACUCAUUAUAGGAAACUCAAAACAUUGAAUCCUUUCACAAAGGUAAAAUUAUAUUUCCUUUAAGAAGUGUUUACCAUUCCUUUUUUGAAAGGAAAAUAAUUAGAUAUAUAAGACAUCGACUUUAGAAAAUACAAUAAAAAAUAAGUAAUACUAGCAAAUGUCAUUAUGUCAUCAGGAAAAAUAGAAGUCUCCCAGCAAAAAAAAAAAAAACACAAAUUUUAAAAUUAUCAAUAAAAUAUUAAGUGUAAAGGUUAUACGUAUGCUUAACUAUCAAGCAUUUAAAAUUGUGUUUAUGAAGAUUUUUAUAAACUUGGGGUGAUAUGCAUUUAUGUUAAAGAAAAAAGUAGCCUAAAGCUCUGUACACAGUGUAUAAUUAAAUUCUUUUAAAAAUCCAUUCAUUUAGUAAUUUUUAUGCAUAGAAAGCUUCCGUGGGAACUGUUAACACCACGCACCAAAGGAUACCCCUGAGUGUUAGAAGUAGAAUACCCACUGAACAAGGGAUACCCACCGACUUAGAAGAGUGCUUAUUUUCUUCUUUAUAUUCUUUUUAUUUUUCAAUUUCCU